Catharus ustulatus (Swainson's thrush) is the source of this 462-nucleotide long non-coding RNA. RefSeq lists it as uncharacterized. The record is from RefSeq and is a predicted model, not a curated record. The transcript is spliced from 3 exons. NCBI's taxonomy places the organism in Eukaryota, Metazoa, Chordata, Aves, Passeriformes, Turdidae.
GCGCGGCCGCCGCGAACGGGCGCGGGAACAGCGCGAGUGGGACCGGGGGAAAAGCCCCGCCCCUUCCGGGACACGCCCGCCCGGGGGCGGGGCCGGGGCUGGCCACGCCCCUCGGGGCUCCAGGACACGCCCCCCGCAGCAGCAGCUCCAGCAGCAGCAAGGGGGCGGGGACAAGGAGAAGGGGCGGGGCCAGAGGGAGGCGCGGCCCGAGAGGAAAGAGAAGCCUCCCGAGGAGCCGCCGGCGAAGCUCCUGGACGAUUUGUUCCGCAAGACCAAGGCGGCGCCGUGCAUCUACUGGCUGCCCCUCAGCGACGCCCAGCUGCUGCAGAAGCAGGCUGAGCGGGCAGCCCGGGCCCGGGAGCGCGAGCGGCGCCGGAAGGAACAGGAAGAGGAGGAGCAAAAACAGCGGCAGCUGGGAGGGGGCGGGGCCACGUCCGGAAGGGGCGGGGCCAGCUCGGAAAG